This 278-nucleotide ribosomal RNA is filed under the name uncultured bacterium. Its description in RNAcentral is "partial 16S ribosomal RNA". It matches the Rfam family "Bacterial small subunit ribosomal RNA", at positions 506 to 784 of the family's 1533-position model. The record is from RNAcentral.
UGCCAGCAGCCGCGGUAAUACGUAGGGGGCAAGCGUUAUCCGGAAUCACUGGGCGUAAAGGGUGCGUAGGCGGUCUAUCAAGCCAGAAGUGAAAGACAUUGGCUCAACCAAUGUAAGCUUUUGGAACUGAUGGACUUGAGUGCAGGAGAGGAAAGUGGAAUUCCUAGUGUAGAGGUGAAAUUCGUAGAUAUUAGGAGGAACACCAGUGGCGAAGGCGACUUUCUGGACUGUAACUGACGCUGAGGCACGAAAGUGUGGGGAGCGAACAGGAUUAGAUA